RNAcentral lists this unclassified non-coding RNA (329 nucleotides) under soil metagenome. RNAcentral's name for it is "partial contains 5.8S ribosomal RNA, internal transcribed spacer 2, and large subunit ribosomal RNA". The stretch from base 1 to 120 matches the Rfam family "5.8S ribosomal RNA", at positions 35 to 154 of the family's 154-position model. The record is from RNAcentral.
GAUGAAGAACGCAGCGAAAUGCGAUAAGUAAUGUGAAUUGCAGAAUUCAGUGAAUCAUCGAAUCUUUGAACGCACAUUGCGCCCCUUGGUAUUCCGAGGGGCAUGCCUGUUCGAGCGUCAUUAUAACCCCUCAAGCUCAGCUUGGUGUUGGGGCCUGCUGCACUGGCAGCCCUUAAAAUCAGUGGCGGCGCCAUCUGGCUCUAAGCGUAGUAAUUCUUCUCGCUAUGGAGUCCUGGUGGAUGCUUGCCAUCAACCCCCAAUUUUUCUAUGGUUGACCUCGGAUCAGGUAGGGAUACCCGCUGAACUUAAGCAUUUCAAUAAGCGGAGGA